Molecule: ribosomal RNA, 255 nt
Filed under: uncultured bacterium
Lineage: Bacteria
Description: partial 16S ribosomal RNA
Rfam family: Bacterial small subunit ribosomal RNA
Source: RNAcentral
UACGUAGGGCGCAAGCGUUUGUCCGGAAUUAUUGGGCGUAAAGAGCUCGUAGGCGGCUUGUCACGUCGGGUGUGAAAGCCCGGGGCUUAACCCCCGGGUCUGCAUUCGAUACGGGCAGGCUAGAGUGUGGUAGGGGAGAUCGGAAUUCCUGGUGUAGCGGUGAAAUGCGCAGAUAUCAGGAGGAACACCGGUGGCGAAGGCGGAUCUCUGGGCCAUUACUGACGCUGAGGAGCGAAAGCGUGGGGAGCGAACAGG